This 253-nucleotide ribosomal RNA is filed under the name uncultured bacterium. RNAcentral describes it as "partial 16S ribosomal RNA". It matches the Rfam family "Bacterial small subunit ribosomal RNA", at positions 524 to 776 of the family's 1533-position model. The record is from RNAcentral.
UACGUAGGGGGCAAGCGUUGUCCGGAAUCAUUGGGCGUAAAGAGCGUGUAGGCGGCUCGGUAAGUCCGCUGUAAAAGUCAAAGGCUCAACCUUUGAAUGUCAGUGGAUACUGCCGGGCUAGAGUCCGGAAGAGGCGAGUGGAACUCCUGGUGUAGCGGUGGAAUGCGCAGAUAUCAGGAAGAACACCGACGGCGAAGGCAGCUCGCUGGGACGGUACUGACGCUGAGGCGCGAAAGCGUGGGGAGCGAACAGG